Molecule: transfer RNA, 71 nt
Filed under: Spirogyra maxima
Lineage: Eukaryota; Viridiplantae; Streptophyta; Zygnematophyceae; Spirogyrales; Spirogyraceae
Description: tRNA-Cys
Rfam family: tRNA
About the family: Transfer RNA (tRNA) molecules are approximately 80 nucleotides in length. Their secondary structure includes four short double-helical elements and three loops (D, anti-codon, and T loops). Further hydrogen bonds mediate the characteristic L-shaped molecular structure. tRNAs have two regions of fundamental functional importance: the anti-codon, which is responsible for specific mRNA codon recognition, and the 3' end, to which the tRNAs corresponding amino acid is attached (by aminoacyl-tRNA synthetases). tRNAs cope with the degeneracy of the genetic code in two manners: having more than one tRNA (with a specific anti-codon) for a particular amino acid; and 'wobble' base-pairing, i.e. permitting non-standard base-pairing at the 3rd anti-codon position.
Source: RNAcentral
GGCGGCAUGGCUAAAUGGUAAGGCAGAGGAUUGCAAAUUCUUGAUUCCCAGUUCAAAUCUGGGUGUCGCCU